RNAcentral lists this ribosomal RNA (398 nucleotides) under Cytobacillus firmus. Its description in RNAcentral is "bacterial SSU rRNA". It matches the Rfam family "Bacterial small subunit ribosomal RNA", at positions 60 to 449 of the family's 1533-position model. Lineage: Bacteria; Bacillati; Bacillota; Bacilli; Caryophanales; Bacillaceae. The record is from RNAcentral.
AGUCGAGCGGACAGAUGGGAGCUUGCUCCCUGAAGUCAGCGGCGGACGGGUGAGUAACACGUGGGCAACCUGCCUGUAAGACUGGGAUAACUCCGGGAACCGGGGCUAAUACCGGAUAAUUCUUUCCCUCACAUGAGGGAAAGCUGAAAGAUGGUUUCGGCUAUCACUUACAGAUGGGCCCGCGGCGCAUUAGCUAGUUGGUGAGGUAACGGCUCACCAAGGCAACGAUGCGUAGCCGACCUGAGAGGGUGAUCGGCCACACUGGGACUGAGACACGGCCCAGACUCCUACGGGAGGCAGCAGUAGGGAAUCUUCCGCAAUGGACGAAAGUCUGACGGAGCAACGCCGCGUGAGUGAUGAAGGUUUUCGGAUCGUAAAACUCUGUUGUUAGGGAAGAA